RNAcentral lists this transfer RNA (70 nucleotides) under Hydrosaurus amboinensis (sailfin lizard). RNAcentral describes it as "tRNA-Phe". The record is from RNAcentral. Lineage: Eukaryota; Metazoa; Chordata; Lepidosauria; Squamata; Agamidae.
GUAUUUGUAGCUUAGCCCAAAGCAUAGUGCUGAAACCGCUACGACGAGUUUUAUCACACCUCCAAAUACA